This is a long non-coding RNA of Gekko japonicus, 296 nucleotides long. RefSeq lists it as uncharacterized. The transcript is spliced from 3 exons. The record is from RefSeq and is a predicted model, not a curated record. Lineage: Eukaryota; Metazoa; Chordata; Lepidosauria; Squamata; Gekkonidae.
GGGGGGAAUGGAGCUAGUAGCUCUUUUAGGAAGAUUAGAAACUUCUUCCUCCAGAGAAGAAAAGACACCCCCUCCACUAUUUCCAGUUCAAAGUUCUUGGUGCCAAAGUCCAGACUCUCCUACACAUCCUCAUUACUCACUGGAAAGACAUUUGGUGAUGGGCAAUGAUGGUAGCAGCUUAUGCAGACAAACUAGAUCACAACCAGCACACCCUGAUCCUGCCUAAUCUUGAUGGUGUGAUUAUACCUCUUCAUUUUAUCACUUCAGGCUCCUGGCCCAAGCUUCUCAUGCUCCCA